This 810-nucleotide ribosomal RNA is filed under the name Harringtonia lauricola. RNAcentral's name for it is "Raffaelea lauricola partial large subunit ribosomal RNA". It matches the Rfam family "Eukaryotic large subunit ribosomal RNA", at positions 79 to 912 of the family's 3401-position model. The record is from RNAcentral. Lineage: Eukaryota; Fungi; Ascomycota; Sordariomycetes; Ophiostomatales; Ophiostomataceae.
CCCAGUAACGGCGAGUGAAGCGGCAACAGCUCAAAUUUGAAAUCUGGCCCCCCGCGGGCCCGAGUUGUACUUUGGAGAGGACGCUUCUGGCGCGGCGCCGUCCGAGUUCCCUGGAACGGGACGCCGGAGAGGGUGAGAGCCCCGUACGGGCGGCCGCCUAGCCUCUGCGAAGCUCCUUCGACGAGUCGAGUAGUUUGGGAAUGCUGCUCAAAAUGGGAGGUAAAUUUCUUCUAAAGCUAAAUACCGGCCAGAGACCGAUAGCGCACAAGUAGAGUGAUCGAAAGAUGAAAAGCACUUUGAAAAGAGGGUCAAACAGUACGUGAAAUUGUUGAAAGGGAAGCGCCUGUGGCCAGACUUGCGCCCCGCGGACCACCCGGCGCCUCGCGCGCCGGGGCACGCCAGCGGGGCGCAGGCCAGCAUCGGCUCUCUCGGGGGGACAAAGGCCGCGGGAACGUAGCGCCCUCGCGGCGUAUUAUAGCCCGCGGCGCCAUGCCCCCGGGGGGGCCGAGGACCGCGCUCCGGCAAGGAUGCUGGCGUAAUGGCCACCGGCGACCCGUCUUGAAACACGGACCAAGGAGUCAAGCAUUGGGGCGAGUGUCUGGGUGGCAAGCCCGCACGCGGAAUGAAAGUGAACGCAGGUGGGAGCUUCGGCGCACCACCGACCGAUCCUGAUGUCCUCGGAUGGAUUUGAGUAGGAGCCCCGCCGCUUGGACCCGAAAGAUGGUGAACUAUGCCUGUAUAGGGUGAAGCCAGAGGAAACUCUGGUGGAGGCCCGCAGCGGUUCUGACGUGCAAAUCGAUCGUCAAAUAU